Molecule: ribosomal RNA, 499 nt
Filed under: Pseudidiomarina andamanensis
Lineage: Bacteria; Pseudomonadati; Pseudomonadota; Gammaproteobacteria; Alteromonadales; Idiomarinaceae
Description: bacterial SSU rRNA
Rfam family: Bacterial small subunit ribosomal RNA
Source: RNAcentral
CGCAUUGGCGGCAGCUACACAUGCAGUCGAGCGGCAGCGGGGAGUAGCUUGCUACUCUGCCGGCGAGCGGCGGACGGGUGAGUAAUGCUUGGGAACUUGCCUUUAGGAGGGGGAUAACCACGGGAAACUGUGGCUAAUACCGCAUAAUGUCUACGGACCAAAGCAGGGGAUCUUCGGACCUUGCACCUAGAGAUAGGCCCAAGUGAGAUUAGCUAGUUGGUGGGGUAAAGGCCCACCAAGGCGACGAUCUCUAGCUGUUCUGAGAGGAUGAUCAGCCACACUGGGACUGAGACACGGCCCAGACUCCUACGGGAGGCAGCAGUGGGGAAUAUUGCACAAUGGGGGAAACCCUGAUGCAGCCAUGCCGCGUGUGUGAAGAAGGCCUUCGGGUUGUAAAGCACUUUCAGUGGUGAGGAAGGAUGUAAGAUUAAUACUCUUGCAUAUUGACGUUAGCCACAGAAGAAGCACCGGCUAACUCCGUGCCAGCAGCCGCGGUAAU